This 71-nucleotide small nuclear RNA is filed under the name Panthera leo (lion). RNAcentral describes it as "U2 spliceosomal RNA (ENSPLOG00000006806.1)". It matches the Rfam family "U2 spliceosomal RNA", at positions 1 to 105 of the family's 192-position model. Rfam says of the family: U2 is a small nuclear RNA (snRNA) component of the spliceosome (involved in pre-mRNA splicing). Complementary binding between U2 snRNA (in an area lying towards the 5' end but 3' to hairpin I) and the branchpoint sequence (BPS) of the intron results the bulging out of an unpaired adenosine, on the BPS, which initiates a nucleophilic attack at the intronic 5' splice site, thus starting the first of two transesterification reactions that mediate splicing. Lineage: Eukaryota; Metazoa; Chordata; Mammalia; Carnivora; Felidae. The record is from RNAcentral.
AUCGCUUCUCGGCCUUUUGGCUAAGAUCAAGUGUAGUAUCUAAAUGUAUAUUUGAUACAACGUAAGUCUUU